RNAcentral lists this ribosomal RNA (383 nucleotides) under uncultured eukaryote. Its description in RNAcentral is "partial 18S ribosomal RNA". It matches the Rfam family "Eukaryotic small subunit ribosomal RNA", at positions 592 to 976 of the family's 1831-position model. The record is from RNAcentral.
CAAUAGCGUAUAUUAAAGUUGUUGCAGUUAAAAAGCUCGUAGUUGGAUUUCUGGUGGGAGCGAUCGGUCUGGCGCUUAGCGCGAGUACUUGCAUCGUCUCCGGCCAUCCUUGGGGAGAGUCUGUCUGGCAUUAGGUUGUCGGGCAGAGGAUCCUCAUCGUUUACUGUGAAAAAAUUAGAGUGUUCAAAGCAGGCUUAUGCCGUUGAAUAUAUUAGCAUGGAAUAAUAAGAUAGGACUUUGGUACUAUUUUGUUGGUUUGCGCACCAAAGUAAUGAUUAAUAGGGACAAUUGGGGGUAUUCGUAUUCCGUUGUCAGAGGUGAAAUUCUUGGAUUUACGGAAGACGAACUACUGCGAAAGCAUUUACCAAGGAUGUUUUCAUUAA